UACGGAGGGUGCAAGCGUUAUCCGGAUUCACUGGGUUUAAAGGGUGCGUAGGCGGACAGGUAAGUCAGUGGUGAAAUCUCUGGGCUUAACCCAGAAACUGCCGUUGAUACUAUUUGUCUUGAAUAUCCUGGAGGUAGGCGGAAUAUGUCAUGUAGCGGUGAAAUGCUUAGAUAUGACAUAGAACACCGAUAGCGAAGGCAGCUUACUACAGGAUGAUUGACGCUGAGGCACGAAAGCGUGGGGAGCAACCAGG
RNAcentral lists this ribosomal RNA (253 nucleotides) under uncultured bacterium. RNAcentral's name for it is "partial 16S ribosomal RNA". It matches the Rfam family "Bacterial small subunit ribosomal RNA", at positions 524 to 776 of the family's 1533-position model. The record is from RNAcentral.